UCCUGCCAAGAUUAAGCCAUGCAUGUGUAAGUGUAAAUAUACUAUACUGGGAACUGCGAAAUGGGUCAUUAUAUCAGUUAUAGUUUAUUUGGUGAAGUGCCCUACUUGCGAUAACCUGUACUGAAUUCUAGGGCUAAUACAUGACAAAGUCCUCUGGCGAGGCGCGUUUAUUAGAAUGAAAACCAUAUGCUUCGGCAUGAUAGUGAGAAAUAGUAACCUAUCGUAUCGCAUGCUUAAUGUAGCGAUGAUUCUUUCGAGUUUCUGCCCUAUCAAUUUUCGAUGGAACUAUAUGGGCCUACCAUGGCAAUAACGGCCAACGAAUAAUUUGGGUUCGAUUUCUGAGAGGGAGACUGAGAGAUGGCUACCACAUCCACGGAAAGCACCUCGCGCGAAAGUUACCCAAUCCUGACACACGCAGGCAUUGACAAUAAAUCACAAUGCGGGACUAUACGUCUUGCGAUUGGAUUGAGAACUGUGUACGACUCUUAUCGAUAGGACAUUGGAGGGCAAGUCUGGUGCCAGCAGCCGCGCUAAUUCCAGCUCCAGUAGCGUAUAUUACCCCUGUUGCAGUAUAAACCUCAUUGCAGUAAAAAGCUCAA
Molecule: ribosomal RNA, 599 nt
Filed under: Blastocystis sp.
Lineage: Eukaryota; Bigyra; Opalinata; Blastocystidae
Description: SSU rRNA
Rfam family: Eukaryotic small subunit ribosomal RNA
Source: RNAcentral